This 1003-nucleotide long non-coding RNA is filed under the name Panax ginseng (ginseng). Its description in RNAcentral is "long non-coding RNA (PGIN_LNC010346)". The record is from RNAcentral. Lineage: Eukaryota; Viridiplantae; Streptophyta; Magnoliopsida; Apiales; Araliaceae.
UUUUCCCUUACCCACUCUUCCAUAACAACCCAAUGGUUUCAAAAUAUCACUUUCUCUCUCUAAACCGCCCAACUCUCCUUUCUCUCUCUCCAAACCCUUCAAUACCUCUUCCUCUUCCGUUCCUUUUUUGAUUAAAUUCAAUCGUGUCUUCAUCUCUUCUUCACUUGAUAGCACUGCAGAUGCAGAGAUCUCUCUCUGAACCCCCCAACUUCUCAUCUGUCCCGUCUCCGCUCGAGGCCGCCGACGGCGCCGCCUUGGAGACCCGCCUUCGGGAAGCUGAGGAUCGGUUGAGGGAGGCCGUAGAGGAACUGGAGCUCCGGCAGCGGCGCACACAGUAUCGUCACCCGCCCUACGAUCACGCUGUUGAUUCAUGGUUGCUUAUCCUCCGCCGCCUCCCGUCGCUUGGCCUCAUCGUCACCAACAGCACCGGCGUCGACCACUAAGGCCUUAGUGGGGAAGCAGAUGCAUCGUCACCAAUAGCCCUUCAUAGGCCUUAAUAUACCUAUGAAGGGCUAUUAGUAUUUUCCUCUUACCAUGGAGGUUUCCACAUUUCUGAUAAGGUGAUGUACAAAUUAGCAAUCCCUUUAAUCUACUUCUUCGCAUAUUUUCAUUCUAAAUAACAUUCAUUAAGGUUAACUAACAAAUUGAGUACAAGACCAAUUUUUAUUAAAAAAAAUAUGUGGAGUAAAUACCACAGGUAGAGUAACUACUUAGCUUACAUACAAGGAAAAACAUUCAUAUUUACUAAACUCUCAAUUGUUAUCUCAAAACUAGGAAUAAAUUAUAACACUAAACCAAAGACAUGGCACCAUAACAGAAAUCCAACUGAUCAUUUAGAGAGGGAGAAAAAUCAAAUGCACCCAUCUAUCUACAAAAGUUACCUGAAAUGAUAGUGGCCAAGCCCGUGCUUAAAACCCCACUUAAAUUCCCCAACAUACCGGCUGCCAUCCUCACAAGUAUGAAUACCACAUCCAUGACUCUGCCCAUUGGCCCAUUCGCCAGC